Molecule: non-coding RNA, 1411 nt
Organism: Drosophila persimilis
Lineage: Eukaryota; Metazoa; Arthropoda; Insecta; Diptera; Drosophilidae
Source: Rfam
AUUCUGGUUGAUCCUGCCAGUAGUUAUAUGCUUGUCUCAAAGAUUAAGCCAUGCAUGUCUAAGUACACACGAAUUAAAAGUGAAACCCGCAAAAGGCUCAUUAUAUCAGUUAUGGUUCCUUAGAUCGUUAACAGUUACUUGGAUAACUGUGGUAAUUCUAGAGCUAAUACAUGCAAAUUAAAACACGGACCUUAUGGGACGUGUGCUUUUAUUAGGCUAAAACCAAGCGAUCGUAAGGAUCGUUUACAUUGGUUGAACUCUAGAUAACCAUGCAGAUCGUAUGGUCUUGUACCCGACGACAGAUCUUUUCAAAUGUCUGCCCCUAUCAACUUUUUGAUGGUAGUAUCCUAGGACUACCCAUGGUUGCAACGGGGUAACGGGGAAUCAGGGUUCGAUUCCCGGAGACGGGAGCCUGAGAAACGGGCUACCCACAUCUAAAGGAAAGGCAGCAGGGCGCGUAAAUUACCCACUCCCAGCUCGGGGGAGGUAGUGACGGAAAAAUUAACAAUUACAGGAACUCAUAAUCCCGAGGUCCCUGUAAUUGGAAAUGAGUACACUUUAAAAUCCUUUAACAAGGACCAAUUGGAUGGGCAAGUCUGGGUGCCAGCAGCCGCGGUAAUUUCCAGCUCCCAAUAGCGUAUAUUAAAGUAGUUGUGUUGCGGUUAAAACGUUCGUAGUUGAACUUGUGCUUCAUACGGGUAGUACAACUUACAAAUUGUGGUUAGUACUAUACCCUUUAUGUAUGUAAGCGUAUUACCGGUGGAGUUCUUAUAUAUAAUUAAGUACUUGUAUUUUUUUUAUAUAUUCCUCCUAUUUAAAAACCUGCAUUAGUGCUCUUCAUCGAGUGUUAUUGUGGGCCGGUACAAUUACUUUGAACAAAUUAGAGUGCUUAAAGCAGGCUUCAAAUGCCUGAAUAUUCUGUGCAUGGGAUAAUGAAAUAAGACCUACUGUUCUGCUUUCAUUGGUUUUCAGAUCAACGAGGUAAUGAUUAAUAGAAGCAGUUUGGGGGCAGUUAGUAUUACGACGCGAGAGGUGAAAUUCUUGGACCGUCGUAAGACUAACUUAAGCGAAAGCAUUUGCCAAAGAUGUUUUCAUUAAUCAAGAACGAAAGUUAGAGGUUCGAAGGCGAUCAGAUACCGGCCCUAGUUCUAACCAUAAACGAUGCCAGCUAGCAAUUGGGUGUAGCUACUUUUAUGGCUCUCUCAGUCGCUUCCCGGGAAACCAAAGCUUUUGGGCUCCGGGGGAAGUAUGGUUGCAAAGCUGAAACUUAAAGGAAUUGACCGGAAGGGCACCACCAGGAGUGGAGCCUGCGGCUUAAUUUGACUCAACACGGGAAAACUUACCAGGUCCGAACAUAAGUGUGUAAGACAGAUUGAUAGCUCUUCUCUCGAAUCUAUGGGUGGUGGUGCAU